GGCAAGUUGGCCGAGUGGUUAAGGCGCAGUGUUUAGGAUACGUUUAAUUCUAACAACAUCCCCCGCUGUCUUCGGGCGUGGGUUCGAACCCCACACUUGUCA
Non-coding RNA from Violaceomyces palustris, 102 nucleotides. The record is from the annotation of a GenBank genome assembly. NCBI's taxonomy places the organism in Eukaryota, Fungi, Basidiomycota, Ustilaginomycetes, Violaceomycetales, Violaceomycetaceae.